RNAcentral lists this transfer RNA (94 nucleotides) under Acidobacteriota bacterium. Its description in RNAcentral is "Acidobacteria bacterium tRNA-Ser". It matches the Rfam family "tRNA". From Rfam's summary of the family: Transfer RNA (tRNA) molecules are approximately 80 nucleotides in length. Their secondary structure includes four short double-helical elements and three loops (D, anti-codon, and T loops). The record is from RNAcentral. RNAcentral also lists the same sequence under 1 other name. Lineage: Bacteria; Pseudomonadati; Acidobacteriota.
GGAGAGAUGGCCGAGUGGCUGAAGGCGCACGCUUGGAAAGCGUGUUUACUCGAAAGGGUAACGUGGGUUCGACGCCAGAUUCCCAUCAUCGCCA